Molecule: RNase P RNA, 365 nt
Filed under: Carnobacteriaceae bacterium zg-C25
Lineage: Bacteria; Bacillati; Bacillota; Bacilli; Lactobacillales; Carnobacteriaceae
Description: Bacterial RNase P class B
Rfam family: Bacterial RNase P class B
About the family: Ribonuclease P (RNase P) is a ubiquitous endoribonuclease, found in archaea, bacteria and eukarya as well as chloroplasts and mitochondria. Its best characterised activity is the generation of mature 5'-ends of tRNAs by cleaving the 5'-leader elements of precursor-tRNAs. Cellular RNase Ps are ribonucleoproteins.
Source: Rfam by way of RNAcentral
AAAUUCGGAUUAUUGCGGUCGAAAGGCUGAGGAAAGUCCAUGCUCGCACAAGCUGAAAUGCUUGUAGUGUUCGUGCUUAGCGAAACAAUAAGCUAAGGCAGUUGAAAAACUGACGGCAGAAAAAAUAGCUAAGGUGUAAACUAUGCUAAAGUAUUCUUGAAAGUGCCACAGUGACGAAGUAAUUUUGGAAACAAGAUUAGUGGAACGUUGGUAAACCCCUCGAGCGAGCAACCCAAACUUUGGUAGGGGCACUCUUAAUAGGAAUAACAACAAAAAAAGAGGUACGUCCAUCUGACGUACAGACAGAUAAUAAUCCAGAACAUUUUCCUUCCGAGAAAUGUUUGGACAAAACAUGGCUUAUAGAA